RNAcentral lists this long non-coding RNA (438 nucleotides) under Mytilus galloprovincialis (Mediterranean mussel). The record is from RNAcentral. Lineage: Eukaryota; Metazoa; Mollusca; Bivalvia; Mytilida; Mytilidae.
AUUAAUAACACAAUAUUUAAUAUAUAAGAGACAGCGAUCUCAAAUAUCUACGUACCGUACUUCAGGUCUUCGUCUUCAAACAUAUGACAACCGACCCUGAGCUAGGAUUCUCUCCAGCUUAUAUACCCCAAUGGUAGCUGUACCAUUAUUGAAGGAGGGGUGUUCUACCAAAGUGUCUUGUUUCUCGUAUCUGAGUUUCCUAAGGAACACCCCUUUAUAUUGAACCUGACCCAAAGUUUACCCGCGAAACAUCUAACUCUUUUCUAUGUUUAUCAAAGUACCAUAUAAAUAUAUAAAAUGAGGCUUCUGUCGAACAGUAACCAAUAUAAACAACUUAACCAUAGAUACAAAAUCAUCACAUAACCCACGCCUCAAAAACACAUGCGUCCCGCAUGUCUAAAAUAAAACUAACAAGAUAUAAAUGUUCUACACAACUAC